RNAcentral lists this ribosomal RNA (1438 nucleotides) under uncultured organism. RNAcentral's name for it is "16S ribosomal RNA". It matches the Rfam family "Bacterial small subunit ribosomal RNA". The record is from RNAcentral.
GAACGCUAGCUACAGGCUUAACACAUGCAAGUCGAGGGGCAGCAUGGUCUUAGCUUGCUAAGGCCGAUGGCGACCGGCGCACGGGUGAGUAACGCGUAUCCAACCUGCCUUACACUCUUGGACAGCCUUCUGAAAGGGAGAUUAAUACAAGAUGUUAUCAUGAGUAAGCAUUUUCGCAUGAUUAAAGGUUUACCGGUGUAAGAUGGGGAUGCGUUCCAUUAGAUAGUAGGCGGGGUAACGGCCCACCUAGUCUUCGAUGGAUAGGGGUUCUGAGAGGAAGGUCCCCCACAUUGGAACUGAGACACGGUCCAAACUCCUACGGGAGGCAGCAGUGAGGAAUAUUGGUCAAUGGACGAGAGUCUGAACCAGCCAAGUAGCGUGAAGGAUGAAGGUUCUAUGGAUUGUAAACUUCUUUUAUACGGGAAUAAACGGAUCCACGUGUGGAUUUUUGCAUGUACCGUAUGAAUAAGGAUCGGCUAACUCCGUGCCAGCAGCCGCGGUAAUACGGAGGAUCCGAGCGUUAUCCGGAUUUAUUGGGUUUAAAGGGAGCGUAGAUGGGUUGUUAAGUCAGUUGUGAAAGUUUGCGGCUCAACCGUAAAAUUGCAAUUGAUACUGGCAGUCUUGAGUACAGUUGAGGUGGGCGGAAUUCGUGGUGUAGCGGUGAAAUGCUUAGAUAUCACGAAGAACUCCGAUUGCGAAGGCAGCUUACUAACCUGUAACUGACAUUGAUGCUCGAAAGUGUGGGUAUCAAACAGGAUUAGAUACCCUGGUAGUCCACACGGUAAACGAUGAAUACUCGCUGUAGGCGAUAUACAGUCUGCGGCCAAGCGAAAGCAUUAAGUAUUCCACCUGGGGAGUACGCCGGCAACGGUGAAACUCAAAGGAAUUGACGGGGGCCCGCACAAGCGGAGGAACAUGUGGUUUAAUUCGAUGAUACGCGAGGAACCUUACCCGGGCUUAAAUUGCAACCGAAUAUGGCGGAAACGCUAUAGCUAGCAAUAGCGGUUGUGAAGGUGCUGCAUGGUUGUCGUCAGCUCGUGCCGUGAGGUGUCGGCUUAAGUGCCAUAACGAGCGCAACCCUUGCCGAUAGUUACUAACAGGUCAUGCUGAGGACUCUGUCGGGACUGCCAUCGUAAGAUGUGAGGAAGGUGGGGAUGACGUCAAAUCAGCACGGCCCUUACGUCCGGGGCUACACACGUGUUACAAUGGGGGGUACAGAGGGCUGCUACCACGCAAGUGGAUGCCAAUCCCAAAAACCUCUCUCAGUUCGGAUUGAAGUCUGCAACCCGACUUCAUGAAGCUGGAUUCGCUAGUAAUCGCGCAUCAGCCACGGCGCGGUGAAUACGUUCCCGGGCCUUGUACACACCGCCCGUCAAGCCAUGGGAGCCGGGGGUACCUGAAGUGCGUAACCGCAAGGAGCGCCCUAGGGUAAAACUGG